GUCAUUCAGUCUCUCAAUGGAUGCAGAAAUCCUUCUCGGGAACCUCAGAGGCAAGAUGCAGUCACCUGGCUUCCCUGGCACUGUCUCUGAUAUCUGGGAAAUGGACCUAAGGCUGUACUCGGAGGCAGAUGUGACAAGCUACCAGCCCAGGUGAGAUGGAAGGCCUCUUCCCCUCUCAGGCCAGAGGGUCCAGUGCCAGAAUCAUCCCGACGCUUGUCGCAAAUUCACUUUCUCUUCUCCCUUUGGAUUCCACAGCUCUGGGAUGUAGCCCAGGAAGCUGUAUUUUUUUUUUUUAACUUCCCUGAGUGAUUCUGGUGAUCUUCCUCUUGGAGCCACACUGAAGGGCAAGACAAGCAGUGGCUGAACGUUGUUGCCAGCAGGGUUAGGGAGGUGGGGGCAGAGGAUAAGGAGAAGUCCUGUAGGGAUUUGGGAAGCAUGUUUGCCACUCCCAAAAAAAAGAAAAAAAAGGAAAACGAAAACAAAACAAAAAAAAGCUCAGCUUGGGAGAGAAGCCUAAAACAAACAAACAAAAAAGUAACCAAGACCUCGACGCAGUACUGAAUUGCUGAAUUUUUAAUCUGUAACACAAAGGUUGCCAAACAUUCCCCCAAAGGAGCAGCUCUCAGUGGGGUGGCGGUGGAUGCGAAACAGCUGAAGACGCGGGGCAGUUGGCCUGGCUUCCGUUGCACGGGCUGGCUUCCCGCGGGAGCGGUGGUGGGUGGGGAGGGGUGGGGGGACUCGAGGCAACCCCCCAGAGCGGCCUCUGAGCGCCUAGGAGGAACCUGAAGGCGGGAAGGGGGAAGAUCGUCAGGUCAAAGGCGGGAGUCUCAGGGCUUAUGGGGUGGGGAAGGAGGGUCUGGGUGGAAAGGUACCUCAGGGAGCCUAGGAGGCUGUCAGCGUGAGCGGGGUGUUUCGG
RNAcentral lists this long non-coding RNA (916 nucleotides) under Homo sapiens (human). Its description in RNAcentral is "HSALNT0318725". Lineage: Eukaryota; Metazoa; Chordata; Mammalia; Primates; Hominidae. The record is from RNAcentral.